AUGGCAGGGAAGGAGCUGGAGAGGGAGCUGGCAGUCUGGUCAGAGCCUUGGAGAUCUUCCAUACUGCUCCAGCCUUCCAGGAGGUUUUUUGCCUCAGAGCACACCCAGGCCAACCCAGCUGAACUUAAUGACAUCAAAAGUCUUCAAAACUCAGGGAAGCCUAGGUUGCAACACCCCUCCCUUACUGACUGCUGGACUUUAAUUCAAUCAAAAACAUCCAUAGGACAGGGAAAGUCAAACUCUAACACUCCUCCCCCAGAGACUGCACUGAGAGAUCUGACAAAGCUCCAAGAGGGGAGACUGACAGAAAGCCCCAAAACUAAAAAAAUGAGAGGAGCAAGAGCACAGACAAAUAUGGGGAGCAAAGAAGAGGUGAAUAUGAGCAAACAACAGAAAAAGAAGAAAGAAACUACAAUUGACAGCUUCUGCACAGGCAACAAACCGAGAACAAACAAUACACAGGAGGAGUCAAGUAAUAAAACAGAAAUCCCAGCAAAUUGGACACAGGGUUUGGAAAAACUCAAAAUGCAAUUCAAAACACAAUUAAGAGAGACUGAAGACAAUUGGGACAAGAAUUUAAAAACUAAGAUGAGUCAUCUGGAAAAAGAAAAUAGUGUCUUGAAAGCCAAAAUCAACCAGCUUGAAAAUGAGGCAAAUGAGAUGAAAGAUGAGGCAAAGAAGAUGAAAGAUGAAACAAAGGAGAUGAGAGAUGAGGUAAAGAGAAUGAAAGAUGACCUCCAAAGAAAAUCAGACCAGAAGGAGAAGGAUGACCAAAAAGCCAGGGAUGAAAUCCAGUCUUUAAGAACCAGAAUACAGCAACUACAAUUAAGUGACCUCACAAUGCAGCCAGGCACUAUAAAACAAAACCAAAAGAAUGAAAAAAUUGAGGAAAAUAUGAAGCAUCUCAUUCACAAAACAGAUGAUUUAGAAAAUCAUUCAAGGAGAGAAAAUUUAAGAAUCAUUGUUCUACCAGAAGACCAUGACAAAAGAAAAAUCCUGGACAUAAUACUACAGGAAAUUAUGCAAGAAAACUGUCCCAAUAUUCUGGAACAAGAGGGAAAAGUGGAUACUGAAAGAAUCCACAGAUCACCUCCUGUUCUUUAUCCCCAACUGACAACACCCAGAAAUGUUAUAGCCAAACUCAAGAACUAUUAG
RNAcentral lists this long non-coding RNA (1155 nucleotides) under Monodelphis domestica (gray short-tailed opossum). RNAcentral's name for it is "lncRNA (ENSMODG00000038658.1)". Lineage: Eukaryota; Metazoa; Chordata; Mammalia; Didelphimorphia; Didelphidae. The record is from RNAcentral.